UUGGUGUACAAUAAAUUUAUUGUACACCUUGUGCGCGCAAAACCUUUUGAACCAUUUUAGUGUGCCGCGUCAUCACGUUAAACGCCGCAAAGUGUUGUCCCAGAAACAUAUUCACCCGCGUUUAGCUUCUUUCUUUUGCUUCUCGUCAUUUCACAAAACCACAUUCUUCUUCCUUCAACCUCAUCUCCACCAUCGUCGUCUGUCCUUCGACCUCAUUCCACCACCGAAUUCACCGGGAAAGUGAAGCUUCAGAUUCAUCUCCACCGUCAAUGUCUGUCCUUCGACCUCAUCUCCACCACUGCCUUUCUUACUUAAGGAUGUUUAGGUAAGGUGCUUCGAAGAAAGAAGAUCACAAAUUUGAGAAAAACACAAGUUUUAUUCCAGAAUGAUGGAGGCUGUUCCAACCUCAAGUGAUAGAAGAUAAUUCAGAAGGUUUGCACAUCACUGAGUGGAGAUCCUUUCACCGAUGAGCAAAUUGAUGAAAUACGAGACAAAUGGGCAUCAUACUUCACAGAACAUUGUGUGUAAUUAACGCUUCAUCGAUCUCUUUUUGUGGAUGUUUCAUGCUAUUAAAUUCAUGUGUAAUUGCUUAUUUUAUUUUUGGUGCAAUUUUGUAACGUAUGAUAUAGUUAUUAUAGACUUGAACCUAUUUAGGUGGUUUAUUUUUGUAAACAUAUGAUGGUUAAUUUAUAUGUAAAAAUCAAAGU
Spinacia oleracea (spinach) is the source of this 707-nucleotide long non-coding RNA. RefSeq lists it as uncharacterized. The transcript has 4 exons. The record is from RefSeq and is a predicted model, not a curated record. NCBI's taxonomy places the organism in Eukaryota, Viridiplantae, Streptophyta, Magnoliopsida, Caryophyllales, Amaranthaceae.